GACGAACGCUGGCGGCGUGCUUAACACAUGCAAGUCGAACGGAAAGGCCCUGCUUUUGUUGGGUGCACGAGUGGCGAACGGGUGAGUAACACGUGAGUAACCUGCCCUUGACUUUGGGAUAACUUCAGGAAACUCGGGCUAAUACCGGAUAGGAGCUCCUGCUGCAUGGUGUGGGUUGGAAAGUUUCGGCGGUUGGGGAUGGACUCGCGGCUUAUCAGCUUGUUGGUGUGGUAGUGGCUUACCAAGGCUUUGACGGGUAGCCCGCCUGAGAGGGUGACCGGCGACAUUGGGACUGCGAUACGGCCCAGACUCCUACGGGAGGCAGCAGUGGAGAAUAUUGCAGAAUAGGCGGAAGCCUGAUGCAGCAACGCCGCGUGCGGGAUGACGGCCUUCGGGUUGUAAACCGCUUUCGCCGGUGACGAAGCGUGAGUGACGGUAAUGGGUAAAGAAGCACCGGCUAACUACGUG
Molecule: ribosomal RNA, 468 nt
Filed under: uncultured bacterium
Lineage: Bacteria
Description: partial 16S ribosomal RNA
Rfam family: Bacterial small subunit ribosomal RNA
Source: RNAcentral